Gossypium arboreum is the source of this 533-nucleotide long non-coding RNA. RefSeq lists it as uncharacterized. NCBI's taxonomy places the organism in Eukaryota, Viridiplantae, Streptophyta, Magnoliopsida, Malvales, Malvaceae. The transcript is spliced from 2 exons. The record is from RefSeq and is a predicted model, not a curated record.
CCCCCAUUUAAAAAAAAAACAAAACAAAACAGAGAGCUUCUUUGCUCUCUCUCCCUCUCCCUUUCUCACAUGCGGCUAGGGUUUUGAAACCCAUCCUCGCCUCCGUUGUCUUGACUCCACCGUGGGCGGUGGCUAGAGCCGCAUAGGACGGGUUCUUCAACCCCAUUUCAAAGCCAUUCAAGGGCCACGUUCUUUUUAGCCCAAAAAUGAGAAAGAAGGAGAUCCUUUUACCCCAUUUUUGGAAUUGACUCCAUCGACGGAGAUGAGGCUCCGAUGGCGCGACUCCGGGGCGGUCCAGGUGUUGCGACGCGUGGAAGAGGCGAUGGUUAGGGGCGUGGUGCUGCACGAGGUGGCCAAUGGUGAGGAGCGGCGGCUGAAGAGGGGGCUAGGGUUUGCUUGCUGAAAAUUUUGAUAGCUAAUGGGCUAGGAUUUGGGCUGGUUUGGUUUGCAUUUUGGGUCUGAAAUGGGUUUUAAAUUAUUGGGCCACACAUAUAUUGUAAAUGGACUAAAAAAAUGGACUUUUAUUUUAGUUA